RNAcentral lists this ribosomal RNA (226 nucleotides) under Paenibacillus sp. FSL H7-0326. RNAcentral's name for it is "partial 16S ribosomal RNA". It matches the Rfam family "Bacterial small subunit ribosomal RNA", at positions 1 to 215 of the family's 1533-position model. Lineage: Bacteria; Bacillati; Bacillota; Bacilli; Caryophanales; Paenibacillaceae. The record is from RNAcentral.
UUUUUUGGAGAGUUUGAUCCUGGCUCAGGACGAACGCUGGCGGCGUGCCUAAUACAUGCAAGUCGAGCGGAGUCAAUGAGAAGCUUGCUUCUCUGAGACUUAGCGGCGGACGGGUGAGUAACACGUAGGUAACCUGCCCAUAAGACUGGGAUAACUACCGGAAACGGUAGCUAAUACCGGAUAGGUUCUUCUCUCGCAUGGGAGGGGAAAGAAAGACGGAGCAAUC